This 645-nucleotide long non-coding RNA is filed under the name Vigna radiata. RNAcentral's name for it is "long non-coding RNA (VRAD_LNC002973)". Lineage: Eukaryota; Viridiplantae; Streptophyta; Magnoliopsida; Fabales; Fabaceae. The record is from RNAcentral.
CAAAGAGAAAAGUGAAUAAUAUAUACUAAGCAUUAUCAAACACUUGCAAACCAUGAAACCCAUUCUCAUUGCUUUCUUACUCUUUGUUUCUCUUUUUGUCCUUUCCACUUCAACUCUCGCUCGCGAACUGUAUGGUAAUAAUACUCAAUUCUCAUAUGCAACUUCAUAAUAAUAUUGUUUUCCCUCAAAACAUAUAUGCAUGCAAGGCUUGUUACACACCACCGUAUAUUAAUUACGUUUGUUUGAAUCGAAAUAAAGAACAAAAAUUUGUUGUGUUUCGUUAAUGAUGUGAAUACAAUAUUAUGCAGAUGUGUCGUCCAGUGUGCCACGAUCAUCACCACCAUCACCCCCGGCACCAUGCUCAAUAUAUUCACGUAAUUGUUGACCAAUAUCUGAUUUGGAUAUCUAAAUAUCCAAUGACACUUGCUGUGUGGAGCUACCUUCUCUGUGUUUUUCUUUAGAAUUUCGAGUGCUUUGUCUGAAUGUUGUGUUUUUCAAAAUUGCUGUAAAAUAAAGAUUUGGCCUCCAGACCAAUCCUAUAAAUAAGAAUAUGGUUGUGUGUCCUCUUGAUAUUUAGAUUUGUUGAAAUGUAAUUAAAAAGUUACGACAAAAGUGGACAAUUUAUCUUCUGCAAUGAGAUUUUUA